UACGCAGGGGGCUAGCGUUGUUCGGAAUCACUGGGCGUAAAGGGCGCGUAGGCGGCUUGAUAAGUCGGGGGUGAAAGCCUGUGGCUCAACCACAGAAUUGCCUUCGAUACUGUCGAGCUUGAGACCGGAAGAGGUAAGUGGAACUGCGAGUGUAGAGGUGAAAUUCGUAGAUAUUCGCAAGAACACCAGUGGCGAAGGCGGCUUACUGGUCCGGUUCUGACGCUGAGGCGCGAAAGCGUGGGGAGCAAACAGG
This 253-nucleotide ribosomal RNA is filed under the name uncultured bacterium. RNAcentral's name for it is "partial 16S ribosomal RNA". It matches the Rfam family "Bacterial small subunit ribosomal RNA", at positions 524 to 776 of the family's 1533-position model. The record is from RNAcentral.